UCGCCUGUUUAACAAAAACAUGUCUUUGUGAAGAUUUACACAGUCUGGCCUGCCCACUGAAUCAUUAAAGGGCCGCGGUAUCUCUGACCGUGCGAAGGUAGCAUAAUCAUUAGUCUUUUAAUUGGAGGCUCGUAUGAAAGGUCGAACGAGUGAUAGACUGUCUUAACAGAAAAAAUUGAAAUUAACUUUAAAGUGAAAAGGCUUUAAUAUAUUAGAAAGACGAUAAGACCCUAUAAAUCUUUACACCAUAUUUAAUAUUAGGCCAAUCUGUUAGUUCAAGGAAAAAUACUAAAAAAGUGUUUUGUUGGGGC
This 311-nucleotide ribosomal RNA is filed under the name Coenobita violascens. Its description in RNAcentral is "partial 16S ribosomal RNA". It matches the Rfam family "Bacterial large subunit ribosomal RNA", at positions 1796 to 2280 of the family's 2925-position model. The record is from RNAcentral. Lineage: Eukaryota; Metazoa; Arthropoda; Malacostraca; Decapoda; Coenobitidae.